GAUGAACGCUGGCGGCGUGCCUAAUACAUGCAAGUCGAGCGAACGGACGAGAAGCUUGCUUCUCUGAUGUUAGCGGCGGACGGGUGAGUAACACGUGGAUAACCUACCUAUAAGACUGGGAUAACUUCGGGAAACCGGAGCUAAUACCGGAUAAUAUUUUGAACCGCAUGGUUCAAAAGUGAAAGACGGUCUUGCUGUCACUUAUAUAUGGAUCCGCGCUGCAUUAGCUAGUUGGUAAGGUAACGGCUUACCAAGGCAACGAUGCAUAGCCGACCUGAGAGGGUGAUCGGCCACACUGGAACUUAGACACGGUCCAGACUCCUACGGGAGGCAGCAGUAGGGAAUCUUCCGCAAUGGGCGAAAGCCUGACGGAGCAACGCCGCGUGAGUGAUGAAGGUCUUCGGAUCGUAAAACUCUGUUAUUAGGGAAGAACAUAUGUGUAAGUAACUGUGCACAUCUUGACGGUACCUAAUCAGAAAGCCACGGCUAACUACGUG
Molecule: ribosomal RNA, 497 nt
Filed under: uncultured bacterium
Lineage: Bacteria
Description: partial 16S ribosomal RNA
Rfam family: Bacterial small subunit ribosomal RNA
Source: RNAcentral